CUACCCUUGACAUGUCUGGAAUCCCUGAGAGAUUAGGGAGUGCUCGAAAGAGAAUCAGAACACAGGUGCUGCAUGGCUGUCGUCAGCUCGUGUCGUGAGAUGUUGGGUUAAGUCCCGCAACGAGCGCAACCCUUGUCUCUAGUUGCUACGAAAGGGCACUCUAGAGAGACUGCCGGUGACAAACCGGAGGAAGGUGGGGAUGACGUCAAGUCCUCAUGGCCCUUAUGGGUAGGGCUUCACACCGUCAUACAAUGGUGCAUACAGAGGGUUGCCAAGCCGCGAGGUGGAGCUAAUCCCAAAAAAUGCAUCGUAAUCCGGAUCGUAAUCUGNAACUCGACUACGUGAAGCUGGAAUCGCUAGUAAUCGCGGAUCAACAUGCCGCGGUGAAUACGUUCCCGGUUCUUGUACACACCGCCGGUCACACCAUGGGAGUGGGCUUUNCCAGAAGUAGUUAGCCUANCCGCAAGGAGGGCGAUUACCACGGCAGGGUUCGUGACUGGGGUG
Molecule: ribosomal RNA, 504 nt
Filed under: uncultured bacterium
Lineage: Bacteria
Description: bacterial SSU rRNA
Rfam family: Bacterial small subunit ribosomal RNA
Source: RNAcentral